Molecule: RNA transcript, 5610 nt
Organism: Zea mays
Lineage: Eukaryota; Viridiplantae; Streptophyta; Magnoliopsida; Poales; Poaceae
Gene name: probable GTP-binding protein OBGM, mitochondrial
Exons: 8
Source: RefSeq, a predicted model, not a curated record
UGAAAAUGCAAAGCUUUAGUUGAUCCAUGAAAGAAAAUUGAGUGUUUAGAGAAAGGAUGAAGAGGAGAGUUGGGCCGGCCUUAGGUUCUCUUCUGCUGCAUAUCAUAGCCCAAGACCCAACUCUGAAAUACCUUUUGGGCUUAGAGCUCACCGCUGACGCUGAGGGAAGGGAGCCCGUCGUCUCUCGUCUCGGCUGGCCGCCGCCGGAGGUUGAGACACAAGAGGCGCCGGGAGCAUUCUCCAUUCUUGACCUUCGCCUCCACUAGUCCACUCCCUCGUUGAUCAAGUAGGGAGGAGUGCAGUGGAUAUGUGGCGGCGGCAGCAGACUCUCCUCCGCCGGCUGCCACCGCUGAGGGUGGUGGCGCAGGCUCCGGCAUCCUGGCCGGCCUGCCGGCUGGGACGCUUCUGCGGGUCUGUGCCGGAGAAGAGGAAGGGAAAGGCGGCGCCUUUGCAGGCGCGGGGCAUGGUGGACAGGUUCCGGAUGCGCGCCAAGGGUGGCGACGGCGGCAAUGGAUGCGUCAGCCUCAGGCGCUCUAGGUCCAACCGCCAGGGCAUGCCUGACGGUGGUAGUGGAGGGAAGGGCGGUGAUGUAAUUCUUGAGUGUUCAAGGUCUAUCUGGGAUUUCAGUGGCUUGCAGCAUCACAUGAGAGGAGGCCGAGGUGGCAAUGGAGUUUCUAAGAAUCAGAUAGGAACAAGAGGUCCUGACAAGAUUGCACAAGUACCUGUAGGCACAGUGAUUCAUCUUGUCGAAGGCGAGCAACCUUCUCUGACAGUAAAUAAACCAACCAGAGCUCUGGAUCCCUGGGAUAUACCUAGUGCUGAAGAACACUCUUCAGAUUUGGACCAGAUUGUUAAUAUAGUGGCAGAAGGUUUUGAUGGUGGCUUGUCCCAUCGGCAUAUUGCCCCUAAGCAUAACACUGAUGGAAAUGACACUGUAAAGGGAAGCAGCAGUCACUCAGAGGAUCCAAAAUACUUUCAUACAUGCUCCAAGCUUCAGUUCUCAAACUCUAAUCGUGAUGUAAGAAUCUAUUCAUGUCAGGAGGGGACAGAUGAAAAAGAUCAAACUGAAAGUGAGGAUGAAGAAUUUUGGGAGGAUGAAGACGAGUUUGACAUGGAUGAGGAGGAAGAAGAGGAUGAGAAGGAAGAACAAGAUGUGCAAUAUUGUGUUGCUGAGAUGACGAAACCUGGGCAGCGGUUAAUCAUAGCACGAGGAGGCAAAGGUGGACUGGGGAAUGCUUUUGUCAUGAAGGAGAUGCGGCCAUCCAAAGCAAACAGACAAGAGAAGAUAGCCCGUUUGAGUACUGGGCAGCCAGGAACUGAGAGCAUCCUUAUCCUGGAACUGAAGAGCAUUGCAGAUGUUGGUCUGGUUGGAUUGCCCAAUGCUGGGAAGAGCACAUUGCUCAGUGCUCUAUCUAGGGCGCAACCAGAGAUAGCUGACUACGAAUUCACCACGCUGAGGCCCAACAUUGGCAGCCUGACCUACGAGGACUACUUCUCAGUUAAAGUGGCUGAUAUACCUGGCCUGAUCAAAGGAGCACAUGAGAACCGUGGCCUGGGCCAUGCUUUCCUGAGGCACAUAGAGCGCACCAAAGUUAUUGCCUAUGUGCUUGACCUUGCAGCCACACUUAAUGGCAGGAAGGGUAUCCCGCCUUGGGAGCAGCUGCACGAUUUGGUCACAGAGCUGGAGCAUUACCAAAAAGGAAUGACUCGGCGGCCAUCACUGAUUGUGGCAAACAAGAUAGAUGAAGAGGGAGCUGAAGAGAUGUACGAGGAGCUGAAGAGGAGAGUGCAGGGUGUUCCAAUAUUUCCAGUUUGCGCCAUCUUGCAGGAGGGGGUGCCAGAUCUGAGAGUGGGUCUAAGGAACCUUAUGGAUGACUCAGAUCCGCAGGGCGUUGAUUUUGAGGAAAACGACUGUUAAAUGAGAGGACUAGGCAAGACCACCCUCGCUCAGCUCAUCUACAACGACCCUCAGGUCAAGGAGCACUUCCAUCUACUAAAGUGGGUAUGUGUGUCAGAUGAUUUCAGUGUCCGUAUUCUUGCCAACAAGAUAUGUAAUACAUCAGAGGCAGUCCUUGAGGAUGCACUAAAGAAGCUUCAGGAACAUCUUAAGGGAAAGAGGUACCUUCUUGUAUUGGAUGACAUCUGGUAUAAGGAUAUUGACAUUGAUAAGUGGAGAAAGCUGAAGGCAUGUCUUAUGCAAGGUGUCAGUUGCGCCGUAUUAGUGACGACACGUGAAAAACAAGUAGCCCAGUUAAUGGGUACUGUAGUUGACAACUCAUUGACAAAUAGUUACCAUGAAGUGGCAAUUUUGGGCAAGGAAUACAUACAAGAAAUUAUUGAAACGAGAGCAUUCAGUUUGAAGAAGAGCAAGCUAGAUGAUUUAGUUGAGUUGGUUAGUCUGAUUGCUGACAGAUGUGCGGGGUCUCCAUUGGCAGCAAAAGCAAUAGGGUCUGUACUGCGUAACAAGACCACUAAGGAGGAAUGGGAGGAUGUGUUACGGCGAAGCACCAUAUGUGAUGAUGAGACUGGAAUUUUGCCUAUACUCAAGCUUAGCUAUAAUGACUUGCCAAUUGACAUGAAGCAAUGUUUUGCCUUUUGUGCUCUAUGUCCAAAGGAUUAUCACAUUGAUAUGGACAAGCUUAUCCAGCUAUGGAUGGCCAAUGGUUUUAUCUCAGAUCGAAACAAGGUACCAGCUGAAACCGUAGGUAAAUGGAUUGUCAAUGAGAUGGUCUCAAGGUCAUUUUUCCAGUAUGAGGAGCAAAGAAGGAUCGGGUACAAUUCCACAACAUUUUUGAAGGUUCAUGACCUCAUGCAUGAUGUUGCACUGUCUGUUUCGAAAAAGGAGUGUGUCUGUAUAACAGAUGAAUUCAUCACAAAUAUGGAGUUGCUUCCAAGUGCUGCCCGCCACAUACUUAUUGAAACAUCGAUAGAGAAAGAGGUACAUGGUUAUUUGUAUGGUUCUAUGAGGGAAAUGUCUCGACCCAUCCAAACAUUGAUGUUUGACAGGUCUUGUGAUGAUGUCGUUGUGCAACAUUUAUCAAGAAUUAGUUCUUUGCGAGUACUUUCUAUGCCAUUAUGGUGUCAUUUGCCAAUAAAACUAAAGCAUCAGUGCCACCUUAGGUUCCUUCAUAUUACAAAUAGUAGCAUCAAAGAACUUCCAGAUGACAUAACCAUCCUUUAUAAUCUUCAGACACUUAAACUUUCUGGAUGUUUCAAUCUUAUUAGACUUCCUAAGAGAAUGAAGCACAUGAGUGCCCUUCGUCAUCUGUACACAGAUGGGUGCACGAGGUUGGAGUGCAUGCCUCCAGAGCUUGGACAAAUCACUUCGCUUCGAACAAUUACAUGGUUCGUAGUGGGAAGUGGCUUGAGUUGUAGUAGUCUUGCGGAGCUAAAGGAUUUAAAUAUUGGUGGUUCGUUAAAGCUAAAGCAACUCGAAAAUGUGCCAGCGGGGAGAAGAAAUGCAGAAGCAGCCAACCUUGUGAAUAAGAAGGAACUGAGACAACUGACACUAGAGUGGACAAGUGGUAAGGCGGAGGAAAAGCAGUGUCAUGAGGUGCUAGAGAGCCUUGAAGCUCAUGAUGGACUGCUGGCUCUUGAAAUAUAUUCCUACCAAGGCACCAGCUUUCCAUCUUGGAUGGGUAUGUUGAAAAACAUACUCGAGCUUCGGUUGUCUGAUUGUAGUAAAGCAGAGCAGCUUCCACCACUGUGUCAGCUAGCAGAAUUGCAACUCCUUCAUUUGGAAGGAUUGGGAAAUUUGCGGUUCCUGUGUAGCAGGUGUACAUCCUUGACAUUUGGAAAGCUUAAGGAUCUUAAGAUAGUUGGUCUUGACGUUUUUGAAGGAUUUUGUGAGACGGUGGAUGGAGGUGCAGUAGCAUUUCCUAAGCUUGAGAUAUUGCACAUUGAGCGCUGUGGAAAUCUAGCAGCUCUACCAAAAGCAUCGGUGCUGGGAGAAGCAUAUUGCGGUAGAGAUUAUACAGUGGCCCGCUCAGCAUUUCCAGAACUGAAGUGGCUCACAUUGGAAGAUUUGUGUAGCUUUGAGAGAUGGGAGGCUGCCCUUGAAAUUGAAGAAGGACAUGCGUUAUUCCCUGUGGUUGAGGUUGUUGUUAUCAGGAAAUGUCCAAAGUUAACAACUCUACUUAGGGCGCCAAAGGUCAAAGAACUAAGUAUACAUGAAGAAAACGAACAUAUCUCUGUAGGAGGGAUUAGAUGUAUGACGUCAUUGUCCACUUUGCAUUUGAUCGGCGUCAAGCCGGAUGGUAUGGAGAGGUGGGACCAUCCGUCAUCUGUGGUAGAUAUGAAACUGUGGAGGUGCAAUUUGUUCUUCCAAGUUCCAACCACGUGCACUGCCACUAUGGGUUUGCUUUGGGCAGCUGCAAGAUCUGUCAGUUACAGGAUGCAAAGAGCUUGUCUACUGGCCAGAGAAAGUAUUCCAAAGCUUGAUUUCAUUGCGGAUGCUAUGCAUUAGGUAUUGCAACAAUCUAAUUGGAUACGCAGUGGCAAAUGGUCCUGACCAGGCAACUUCAGGAAGGAACCAGCUUUUGCCCCAUCUAGAGUCUCUAGAGAUAGACACGUGUGAAAGUCUGGUAGAGGUAUUCAACCUCUCCCCUGCUCUCAAGAGGAUGGAAGUUGAAGGAUGUUGUAAGCUUGAGUCCCUAUAUGGAAAGCAAGAGUUGGAUGAAGAGGCUAGUAGAAGCGAUGACAUGACGGCAUCUGCACCUGUUGAGGAGAAGUUGUCACCUUCGGUGGCCCCAGAUAAGCCCCUUCCAUCAUCUCUAGAAUAUCUAUCAAUAUGGGAUUGCCACGGGUUGUCAGAGGUUGUCAAUCUUCCUUCGUCUCUGAGGGUAAUAAAUAUUAAACGUUGCUCCAGACUACGAGCCAUGUCAGGGCAGCUGGGUGCACUCAAGAGCUUACUAAUUGUCAACUGCCCGGAGUUGCGAUCACUAGAAACAUGCAUCGUAGAUCUCCCAUCACUGGAAAUCCUCUUUCUGUCUGUAUGGUUGUGAAAGCUUGGUAUCCUUGCCCAGGGCGCGGGCAGGAGGACCACAAGAAUACUCAUCUCUUCGUGAACUUACAAUUAGGAGGUGCCCAGGUGUAAAAUGGCUGCCUUCAGCUCUGCAGCAGCGACUGGACAACGGCCUCAUGGAUAAAACGGAUCUAGAUUUCCGUCUUUGUCAAGAUCGAUCUCCACGUCUGCUUGGGCGUUUCUGCUCCCAGCUUUAAUUUCUCAAGAGCCAAAUGUCGCCUUCGUGGAACGGCUUCGUCAGUGAUUAAUAUUACGGCAGCAACUCAUCUGCAGGGGCAUUGGGCAAGCAACAGACGAAGCAGAACAUCAUAGCAGAACGAAUCGAGAACAGCCGAACAUCAUAAAAAUUUAAGCAUAAAAAUCUUAUCUAGUAAACUAGUUAAGCUCAAAUUUGAACGGUCUACGUAUUCCCAAGAAAGCGGGUGAUCUUAUAUCUAGAAGUAGGGACGUAUGAUCCGAUACGCCUCUAUCCAAAGCCUGUACAGAGACAAGUGGGUUGGUUGUCAUGAGAACCCUAUCUAGCUUCUCAUGGGAGCUAUCUUACAAAUUUGAAAGGAGCUUGUCGCACUUUUUUGCUUCUUUCUCGA